Molecule: long non-coding RNA, 1014 nt
Organism: Onychomys torridus (southern grasshopper mouse)
Lineage: Eukaryota; Metazoa; Chordata; Mammalia; Rodentia; Cricetidae
Exons: 3
Source: RefSeq, a predicted model, not a curated record
CACGGGGGAGACCCUGAUGCCUCACACAGGCCACUGCUCAGAGCAGCCAGACUCCCAGGCUCCAGACCCGCUUAGGGAACAUGUAGAAAGACAUACUAAUGAGGGUCAUAGAGAAAGGGUCUUUCUCUGUGAAGUGAUGGGGAAGCCAGAAGGCUGGCUGGAAGCCCCUGGCAUAGUUUGCCUAAGCAGUGUUGAAUUGAAUUGAGGUAGGCACCUUGGCAAGAUGGAAGAAAGCAGGCCACAGAUGGGACAGCCGGGGAGGUCCAGUGAUGAGAGCCACAGAGUGAGAAGCCACACACAUUUCUCUAGGAAGCCAUCGACUUGGAGGAUCGCAUCACUCCAGGCGUUUGUGACGUGUGAUGGCUUGUAAACCUGAGACACCCUGAGGACAUACCAUAAAGCAUGCUCAAACCUCCAGCUCCUGUCUCCAGCUCUCACAACCCACUGGCUUCCAGUGCUGGACAACCAAUUGGAGAAUUCAGCUAAGGCACUGAGUGUCCACAGAGAGUUUGGGGUUCUGGGCGAGUCUAUGAACCUGGCAUGGUUUCUGUACACAUUCACGCGGACUAGCUCCUGGGACAUCUGCGGUCUCAUACAUGGUCAGGACACCCUGGAAGCACUUGGAACAGGAUAUAACAGCAGCACUUUCCACCCAGCCUGACAUCCUGCUUCCAGAUGCAAGACUCUGAGGCAGCUGCGAGCAAGGAGCUCAAGGUUCCGAUUUGAAAGUCCGAGUCCAGCAGCUUCCAGCUAGGCCCUCACAUUGUCUUCAUUCUCCCCUUUCUUGGCCCUCAAAUGAUCAGAAUAACGUGUUACAAUCUGUAGUGGUUUGUGUGAGAAAUGUCCCCCACCAGCUCUGGCAUUAGAACACUUAGUGUGGUUCCCACUUGGUGGUGCUGUUUGGGGAGGUUAUAUCACCGCCUGCUCUUAUACCUUCUUCAUUCAGCUCCCUGAAGUUAGCACUGUCUGAUAUUAAAUUUCCAAAAAUAAAAAAUUCAUUAGUGUCUUCGUUGA